GAUGAACGCUGGCGGCGUGCUUAACACAUGCAAGUCGAACGAUGAAGCCUAGCUUGCUGGGUGGAUUAGUGGCGAACGGGUGAGUAACACGUGAGCAACCUGCCCCUGACUCUGGGAUAAGCGCUGGAAACGGCGUCUAAUACUGGAUACGAACAAGAAUCGCAUGGUUACUUGUUGGAAAGAUUUUUCGGUUGGGGAUGGGCUCGCGGCCUAUCAGCUUGUUGGUGAGGUAAUGGCUCACCAAGGCGUCGACGGGUAGCCGGCCUGAGAGGGUGACCGGCCACACUGGGACUGAGACACGGCCCAGACUCCUACGGGAGGCAGCAGUGGGGAAUAUUGCACAAUGGGCGCAAGCCUGAUGCAGCAACGCCGCGUGAGGGAUGACGGCCUUCGGGUUGUAAACCUCUUUUAGCAGGGAAGAAGCGAGAGUGACGGUACCUGCAGAAAAAGCACCGGCUAACUACGUGCCAGCAGCCGCGGUAAUACGUAGGGUGCAAGCGUUAUCCGGAAUUAUUGGGCGUAAAGAGCUCGUAGGCGGUUUGUCGCGUCUGCUGUGAAAUCUGGGGGCUCAACCCCCAGCCUGCAGUGGGUACGGGCAGACUAGAGUGCGGUAGGGGAGAUUGGAAUUCCUGGUGUAGCGGUGGAAUGCGCAGAUAUCAGGAGGAACACCGAUGGCGAAGGCAGAUCUCUGGGCCGUAACUGACGCUGAGGAGCGAAAGGGUGGGGAGCAAACAGGCUUAGAUACCCUGGUAGUCCACCCCGUAAACGUUGGGAACUAGUUGUGGGGUCCAUUCCACGGAUUCCGUGACGCAGCUAACGCAUUAAGUUCCCCGCCUGGGGAGUACGGCCGCAAGGCUAAAACUCAAAGGAAUUGACGGGGACCCGCACAAGCGGCGGAGCAUGCGGAUUAAUUCGAUGCAACGCGAAGAACCUUACCAAGGCUUGACAUAUACGAGAACGGGCCAGAAAUGGUCAACUCUUUGGACACUCGUAAACAGGUGGUGCAUGGUUGUCGUCAGCUCGUGUCGUGAGAUGUUGGGUUAAGUCCCGCAACGAGCGCAACCCUCGUUCUAUGUUGCCAGCACGUAAUGGUGGGAACUCAUGGGAUACUGCCGGGGUCAACUCGGAGGAAGGUGGGGAUGACGUCAAAUCAUCAUGCCCCUUAUGUCUUGGGCUUCACGCAUGCUACAAUGGCCGGUACAAUGGGCUGCAAUACCGUGAGGUGGAGCGAAUCCCAAAAAGCCGGUCCCAGUUCGGAUUGAGGUCUGCAACUCGACCUCAUGAAGUCGGAGUCGCUAGUAAUCGCAGAUCAGCAACGCUGCGGUGAAUACGUUCCCGGGUCUUGUACACACCGCCCGUCAAGUCAUGAAAGUCGGUAACACCUGAAGCCGGUGGCCUAACCCCUUGUGGGAGGGAGCUGUCGAAGGUGGGAUCGGUAAUUAGGACUAAG
RNAcentral lists this ribosomal RNA (1450 nucleotides) under Microbacterium shaanxiense. RNAcentral describes it as "bacterial SSU rRNA". It matches the Rfam family "Bacterial small subunit ribosomal RNA". Lineage: Bacteria; Bacillati; Actinomycetota; Actinomycetes; Micrococcales; Microbacteriaceae. The record is from RNAcentral.